CACAUAGUUUUAAAAUUUGAAAUCAUGGUAGAUGUCCGACGAAAACUUUUCAACACUGCAGGCAACUUAUGUCCUUCGAUGGAACACCAUGACACGAGAGUUGCUUUUCUAUAGCACUAAAGUUGUCUCAAUAUCACCCAAAGUUUUCAAAAAAGUUUGCUGAAACAUAUCCAUGUGGGAUCUAGUUUUGAAGAGCUCACCGGAAGAAGCCUAACAGUAAAAAUGGAUCUUGUUGUGACACUCUGUUUAAAAAUUAUAGUGUUUUGAAAAAAAUGAUACGGAAUAAAGUGGAAUGACAUCACCACAUGCACGGAGUUAACCCUUGCCAUGUAGGCUGCCUCCUUCCACACUAGUUACCAUGUCGUCCCCAUAGUCACAUGUACAUAUUGAACGGCUGCACGGUGAUGGGCUCGUUUUAACAAAAUAAUGCAACUCCAUUAUUAAGUAUUUGAGAUAUAUUAAUUCCUACUAGUAUAAGUGUUUUUUAGGAAGGAAAAGAGAAGUUGAACUCUCCAUAAUAUAAGGAGAGUUGGUCUGUACCAGAGUCCUUAAGCAACCAAUAAUGUUUAGUCUUUCCCCCCAAGCUAUUCUUCUCCUCCUCUGUUACCUCUCACCACCGGCAAGACGCCCGGAGGACCUUCAUCAACCCUCACGCACCUCCAGACCAUGGCUACGACCUCCGAUCCCAGGACUCUAACAAUGUUCCUCUAGAAUAUGUGUUGUUUGUGCUGACUAUUUGUCGGGCCAAAAGCAAAAGGUGGCGUGAACUUCUUUAGAAUCCAUUCCCUUGCAAGCAUCAGCUCACUCAGGCAACUCCUGGAGUCCUGGUUUGGGAUGUUCAAAGGUAAUGAGAUGCCCAUUGCUGUCUCUGGUGGUAAAACCGUGUGGACUUCAUGUUUGUAUCCCAUGAGUAGUCGCUAAAACUCCUCUUCUUAAAUUCAAUGAAGCACUUCAGCUAUUGCUUUUCAUAAAAAAAAGACCUCACUGUGUGGGUUUCAAGUAGUACAAUUUUUGAUAUUUGCAUUCACUAGAAUGCAUAAUGGCACCUCAUCAAAUCUUCUAUCUCUUGAUAAUAAACGCUCAUUUCAAUAUAUUUUUUGAAAAAAGGAGGAUCAACCCAGGUCUUCAUAUCGACCAACCCAUGCAAUCAUUUAUGAAUGUAUUCAUCAUACGAUUGCAACGCAGAAC
This 1188-nucleotide long non-coding RNA is filed under the name Hordeum vulgare. RNAcentral's name for it is "long non-coding RNA (HVUL_LNC021687)". The record is from RNAcentral. Lineage: Eukaryota; Viridiplantae; Streptophyta; Magnoliopsida; Poales; Poaceae.